RNAcentral lists this ribosomal RNA (529 nucleotides) under uncultured bacterium. Its description in RNAcentral is "partial 16S ribosomal RNA". It matches the Rfam family "Bacterial small subunit ribosomal RNA", at positions 355 to 874 of the family's 1533-position model. The record is from RNAcentral.
UGGGGAAUUUUGGACAAUGGGCGAAAGCCUGAUCCAGCAAUGCCGCGUGUGUGAAGAAGGCCUUCGGGUUGUAAAGCACUUUUGUCCGGAAAGAAAUCCUUGGCUCUAAUACAGUCGGGGGAUGACGGUACCGGAAGAAUAAGCACCGGCUAACUACGUGCCAGCAGCCGCGGUAAUACGUAGGGUGCAAGCGUUAAUCGGAAUUACUGGGCGUAAAGCGUGCGCAGGCGGUUUGCUAAGACCGAUGUGAAAUCCCCGGGCUCAACCUGGGAACUGCAUUGGUGACUGGCAGGCUAGAGUAUGGCAGAGGGGGGUAGAAUUCCACGUGUAGCAGUGAAAUGCGUAGAGAUGUGGAGGAAUACCGAUGGCGAAGGCAGCCCCCUGGGCCAAUACUGACGCUCAUGCACGAAAGCGUGGGGAGCAAACAGGAUUAGAUACCCCUGGUAGUCCACGCCCUAAAACGAUGUCAACUAGUUGUUGGGGAUUCAUUUUCCUUAGUAACGUAGCUAACGCGCGAAGUUGACCGCCU